RNAcentral lists this ribosomal RNA (253 nucleotides) under uncultured bacterium. RNAcentral's name for it is "partial 16S ribosomal RNA". It matches the Rfam family "Bacterial small subunit ribosomal RNA", at positions 524 to 776 of the family's 1533-position model. The record is from RNAcentral.
UACGAAGGGGGCUAGCGUUGCUCGGAAUUACUGGGCGUAAAGCGCACGUAGGCGGCUCGUUAAGUCAGGGGUGAAAUCCUGGAGCUCAACUCCAGAACUGCCUUUGAUACUGAAGAUCUUGAGUUCGGGAGAGGUGAGUGGAACUGCGAGUGUAGAGGUGAAAUUCGUAGAUAUUCGCAAGAACACCAGUGGCGAAGGCGGCUCACUGGCCCGAUACUGACGCUGAGGCACGAAAGCGUGGGGAGCAAACAGG